This 379-nucleotide ribosomal RNA is filed under the name Salmonella enterica subsp. enterica serovar Typhimurium. RNAcentral's name for it is "bacterial SSU rRNA". It matches the Rfam family "Bacterial small subunit ribosomal RNA", at positions 596 to 974 of the family's 1533-position model. The record is from RNAcentral. Lineage: Bacteria; Pseudomonadati; Pseudomonadota; Gammaproteobacteria; Enterobacterales; Enterobacteriaceae.
GAAAUCCCCGGGCUCAACCUGGGAACUGCAUUCGAAACUGGCAGGCUUGAGUCUUGUAGAGGGGGGUAGAAUUCCAGGUGUAGCGGUGAAAUGCGUAGAGAUCUGGAGGAAUACCGGUGGCGAAGGCGGCCCCCUGGACAAAGACUGACGCUCAGGUGCGAAAGCGUGGGGAGCAAACAGGAUUAGAUACCCUGGUAGUCCACGCCGUAAACGAUGUCUACUUGGAGGUUGUGCCCUUGAGGCGUGGCUUCCGGAGCUAACGCGUUAAGUAGACCGCCUGGGGAGUACGGCCGCAAGGUUAAAACUCAAAUGAAUUGACGGGGGCCCGCACAAGCGGUGGAGCAUGUGGUUUAAUUCGAUGCAACGCGAAGAACCUUAC